AUGAGGACUCUAUGCUUUUGUCCAAUGUGUGACGUGGAGCCACCGUUAUGGGGGAAGAGGCACGACGAGGCCAGAGGUGGAGAUGGGGCCGGGAGCAGGCAUGGAACAGGAGAGGGCACUAGGGAGCCGAGGAAGGAAGCCAUGAGACAUCAGUGAACCAGAAGCAUGGGAACUCAAGCAAGCCACUGUGUGAGCGUCAUGGCGUGAGCAUCCGAGGCUUCUGAGGAGUCUCUGAGACCGGCUUUACCGUGUGAACAACUGUCAUUGUUAAAGUGGAA
Molecule: long non-coding RNA, 278 nt
Organism: Peromyscus maniculatus bairdii (prairie deer mouse)
Lineage: Eukaryota; Metazoa; Chordata; Mammalia; Rodentia; Cricetidae
Source: RefSeq, a predicted model, not a curated record